AAGCGGCGCUCUCCUGGGUGGACUCACCCAGAGCUUCAUCAGAGCGAGGAGAGGAGCAGGCAGCUCCCACACGGCUCCCUGGAGCCCAGCUCCCCUCGGGAAUGCAGCACAAGCCUGCACAGGCAUGCCAGGGCAGGCAGCACGCAGAACAAACCUCCUUUGCAGGGUCCCACAGGGCUCUUGCCUAACGCAAAGCUCGGCUUUCCACCUCCGCUUUGAGCUGCUGGAGAUGGUGAUUGUGAAAUGAAAAAGCUGCCCUGGAACCUAGAGCGGUCACUGGAGUUCGUCUCCCCUGGAGAAGGCUGUGAGCCAGCACGGCCAACACAGAGAUAGGAAAACGAAGUAGUUUUACUUUUUUUUCUCAAAGCUGGAAACCCUGCAGGAGUGAGCUGUGAUCCUGAGAUAACAAUGAGCGUUUUCUGUGAUGGCUUGAGUCCACGUGCCACCAACAUUUUCCUUGAGGUGCUAAGCCUCUCCUUUCAACACCAAUGUCAGUAAAGUUCAAGGGAACUCCAGUAGUUCAGAACUGAACCUUGGCUGGAACAAUUCUUGUGGAGGCUGUACAUGCUCGGGCAUCACUUAUAGGAAGGACUGGCACUGACGUAGCAGUAUUUUAUUUACAGAAUCUGUGCUGAUGAACUCUCUAGCUGCCUGUGACCCCUGAAACACUCUGCAGCUUCCAGAAAGUGCAGACUGAGCUAAUUGUCAUGUGUGGACGUGAAGAUCAAUGGGUAAAGGCUGAAGAAAUCUAGCAAAACCCCGUGUCAGCAGCCUGUUGAAUCAGCUCUUUAAACAAGCUGCUGGAUGUUGAUGUAGGGUUUUGAAGUCUUAUGUGCUGACAGACCCUUGUAUUUGCCUACUGAUGGCAAAGGCAUUAUAUUUGUCAUCAACUGCAUGGCAAUAAUUGGAGACAGCAUUUUUGUCACAGACUCAAUAGGUGUUGCAACAAGCCUGGUGUGUUGCCUCUGUCUCUGUUGCCACAUUUUAAAAUUCAUGGAAUAUGCCUAUUUUUUUUUUUCCUAGUAUGUCAUAUCAGAGUCCAAGCUGUUUUAUGAGCAGUAAGCAUUAACUCACCACAAAUGCCACAUCAGCAUCCAGACAGAGCAGGAAUGACUGUGGUUGGGUUCAUCCUUUCCCAAAUGCCUGUUGCAGCAGGACUGUGUCACUCCGGAUUUUGGGUGAGCUGGUCAGCACCCAUCUGUGUGUCUGAUUCUCUGAAGAGAAAAUUAAUCAAAUUCAGGCAAAAACAUGGGACAUGUGUGGGAAAACUGAUGGCCAAAUAUUGCUUGUGUCAACUGGUAAUUGCAAUUCAUUUUGGAAGGAUGUAGCCCCUGGUUAUGUGCAGCCUUUUUCAAGAAUAAACAGAGAUAAAGCUCUCUGAGAUUUUCAGGAGGAGUGAAAAUACUAAGUCUCAUGUCAAGGUUUGCACAAUGCAUUUGAUUCCCCUCCCAUUUUUGCUGUUAAUUCAAAUGAAUGGGUUGCUCUAGGGUUUUGACCCAGGAUCGUGGAGUUCUGCAAAAUUGCUCGAUGCAGGUUAAAUUAGGGUGUGUUUGUGUGGAAAGUGAAGAGAUCCCAUGGUAGGGAUGGCCAUCCCUACAGCAGCAGUGGAAAACAGGCUGGAGAGGAGCAGGCAAACACUGUCUCUGACAUCCCAAGUGAGAGAUGCCUGCUCCAAAGCUGGACCUCUCACCAGUGCUCACACCCCACCCAGGCUUGGCCCUGCAAAUGCAAAUUACUAAAGGUCUGGGUGAGAAAGAAAAUAAAUUUUGUUUCAAAAUCUCCUCCACGCUGCCUUGGUGUUCAGUUCUGAGGGCACUUUCCAAGCUGCUCCUGGACCAGCCCAGCCCUGCAAGCACAGCUUUUGUCUGAGUGAGAGCUGAGGCUGAGCCUGGUGAAGCACCAGCGGCUCUGGAAACCCCCAAGUAGCAGCAGCCAGGCAGCACAACCUAAAAAACCCCUAUUCACCACCAUCCCCAAUAUUAUUAAUCAGCCCACGGUUUGCUCAGACAGGAAAUUGUUACCGACCACUUUAAUUUUACUAAACAAAUGAAACCACCCCAUUACUCAUUCAAAUCUAAUAAACCGCAGCACACAGAGGAGGAAGUGAGCACUUCAAAAUGGCUUGGAGAAAAGUUCUCACUUUGUUUUGCCAUUUAAUUAAAGCCAGGCUCUUUACAGGAAAGGGCAUAAUUAAAUGGCAGCAUGUGUACUAUGAUAAUCUUCUUCACUGGCAUCUCAACAUGCAGCUUGCUACUGAGGGCAGGCAGACUCUUUGUGCUGCUCUUUACACUCCCAGAACCUCACCAGGAGGAAAAUACACUGGGUACCAGCACAGCUCUCCCCUUCAUACCUUGCUGGAUGAUACAGGGCUUCAUUAGGAAGGUGCCAAUGAAAUAAAUUUCCUUGUUGCUCAAUGCCUGCAGAUGUUCAGAAAGCAGCUUCCUGAAGAUGGGCCCUGCAAAUCACCUGGCAGCUGUCGAUUUUAUCGAUGCCUCGGCAUUUCCUGAUCAUCGGGUCUUUAAAACAUAAACAAAAUAGUGCAGCUUUAAUAUUUGCAGUCCUAGCACUAGUUCAAUAUGUGAUGUGAUUUGUGUGCAUAUGUAAAUAUUGUCUUUGCAGUCAGGAGGCAGACAAAGCAUGAAUGUACUUGUACCACAGAGAGGGAUUGCUGUAAUUGUUUGCCUUUCUUCUCAACAUCAAAUUACUGCUUUAAAUGAAGGGAAUUUCACAAACAGGCAGAAAUGCCAUUUUUGCUAUGGGAAUUCUACUUACUCCAGCUGCAUGAUGAAGUUUCACCUGAAAGAAGAGCUCAUAAAUGGGAAUUAUUCCUUUGUGGUGUUUUGGCUCCUAAAAGAUGAUUAAAGAGGAAAAAAGCAGAUAAUCUCAAUAAAGGGCAAAUAUCACAGAGAAACUUAACACCCAACAUGUUUUUGUAGCACUGCAAAGGCCAUGAAGGCGUUUUCAAGCACACAUGGGUUUGUUCCUGUCUGUACAACACCCACUCUUUGGGACUGUUGGCGUUUGGCACCUCCACACUCAGGGGAUGGACGGUGUUUGCUGCAAGGUCCCUGCCAAUUUCUUUGGUGUCUCACCUGGUUUGCCCUAGACAAUCCUUAAUCCAAUGCAAACAGGAGUAAAGUCAACAGGAAGCUGUAUUAAAGAAGCCUGCACACUUAAUAAAUCCCCUGUUAGUCACCAUCAGAAUGAAUUGGUGUGGGAUAAAUCCUUUUUAUCCCAGUCCCAUGCACGGACCAUGCAAUCCACAUGAAACCAGCCCCUCUUCCCUUCCCCAUCACAGAUGUGCUGCAAGACAGGAUUCAAUCUGCUCUCCUUCCCAUCCUUCAAAAUGUUCUCCCCACCACUCUCAUUAGUCUUACUUAAUUUGUUUUGCUCCGUGGAAGGAAUUACAGAUUUGCCAUCCUAGAGAACAGCUGACAUUUUCACAGGAAAAGAAGUACGUGAUUCAUAAUUUUCCAGAAAUCUGCACAUUGCACAUGAAGCACAUCAGCACCUUCUGAGAAGCAGGAUAAAUCCUGAAACUUGUACUCUAUUGUUCCUGUUUGUCUGCUUUAUGUACCUGCUCAAACACCACAACAAAUCUCACAGCCAGCAAGGGAAAAUAUCUGUGGCCUCUCGUGCCAUCAUCAUUCAGCUGAAAGUGGUUGCACCUUGAGGAGAAAAUGACUUUAAACAGUGCCAUUUUGCAAUGGAUUUUUCCAUUGGUGCAGGGGACUGUGGAAAAUCUAAGGUGGAAUUUUGGGAGCUGUAGGAUUGACCUUUUUUUUUCUAAGCCAGAACAUGCACAAGAAAUUCAUAAUGUAGUUCUGAUUCAGUGUUCCAUUUCAGCUGUCACAUUCUGCUUGUCUUGUUGGUUUGGUUUUGUGGGGUUUCUUCCCUUCCCUUUUUAAAAUGAGCAUCCUCAGCUUGUCUUGUCAGGAGCCAUGGGGGGAAAUGCUGUGAUGGAACCAGACUGGCACAACGAGGGUCCUGAGGAAAGCUGACAGGAAAUGCUAUGGAAAGGUCCCAUGGUCAAGGGGACAUUCAGCUCCAUGUUUCUCCAUGACAUUUUGAGAGGUGAACUUGCACAUGUUGUACAGAGCAGAAGAAACUCUGAGAUACUGGAAAAAGUAUUAAUAAUUCAACUCAGUGAGCGUUUUAUGUCAGUGAAUGCAGUCUCAGGAGGAAUAGCUGCAUGUUUUGAAUAAUGUACUCCUCAGAAAUCUUCAGAAACUCAAAAAAUUAUUUAUGAAGUGCAUGUGAGGACAACAGUGGUCUAUCCACUAAGCUAAAAAUGUCUUUCUUUCUGUCCUCUACUUUUUAACCUCACUCACAGGUACCUUAUAUCCCAAAAGGUGUACAACAAAAACUAUUUUAUGUGUGCAAAAGGGAAGCAAAAGCUUUGCAGGGCAGAGGUUGUUUCUCACAUUCUUCUGGCCCUAAUCAGAGCAGGACUUCAAGACACUUUUUAGGAUGCAAUACCCUGCCUGGAGUGCUGCCUCCAGCUCUGGGCCCUCACCACAGGAAAGUCCUGGACCAGUCCAGAGGAGUGAUCAGAGGAAUGGAGCAGCUCUGCUGUGAGGAAAGGCUGAGAGGAUUUGGAUUGCUCAUCCUGGAGAAGAGAAGGCUCCAGGGGGACCUUAGAGCUUAAAGUGCUUAAAGGGGCUCCAAGAGAGCUGGAGAGGGACUUUGGACUCAUAGAGUGACAGGACAAGGGGGAAUGGCUUCCCACUGCCAGAGGGCAGGAUUGGGUGGGAUUUUGGGAAGAAAUUGUUCCCUGUGAGGGUGGGCAGGCCCUGGCACAGGGUGCCCAGAGCAGCUGUGGCUGCCCCUGGAUCCCUGGCAGUGCCCAAGGCCAGGUUGGACAGGGCUUGGAAAAAAGUGGAAUAGUGGAAUAGUGGAACAGUGAAAUAGUGGAACAGUGGAACAGUGGAACAGUGGAAUAGUGGAAUAGUGGAAGGUGUCCCUGCCCAUGGCAGGGGGUUGGAACUUAUUAAGGUCCUUUCCAGCCCAACCCAUUCUGUGAUUCUGUGAUCACAGAAAGCAGCAAUCUGAGAUUCAAGGAACAGCCUCCCACAUUUUCUACUUCUGUUCUGGAAGGGAUCCCCCAGCUCCCUGCAGGCUGAGGCACUGGAGGAGCUCACCCUUCCACCCCUCCAGCUGCAGGAGCUCUCCAAGCGCCUCCUGCCCAGCCCAGUGCCACCCUCACCCCCUGUUCCUACCCACAGCACUGCUAGGACAGUGGCAUUUCCUGCUCUGGAGCUGCACAUGCCUGUUGCUUGCUCUGGAGGGAUAAUCCUGGCGUGAGUACACAGCAGCCCUCAGAGGGAGAUUCCUCUGCAGGGCCUUUUCCUUGGCUCUCCACAGCUCUGGAAGUCCCCAGCCCGUGGUGCCACCGAGGCGGCUCCUGGCCCGUUCUUCCCCACACACCUCAUUUCCAUCCUCCUCUCCAGGGCCAGUUUGCUCCCAUGCAGGCUUUGGUGACAUCCCUGGGCUGCAGGAGGCUCUAGAUUUACAAAUUCCCUGCAAAAGCUCCCCAGCAGCACAGGUAUCUGCUUGCCAGUAAAAAACCCCAUUGUAAUAAAAGUGCUGAGGUUCCUCUUUCUCCCCCAGCACCUUCCCAGAAGUUAUGUGAAAUGAUGGUAUAGCUUUAUUAAACAACGACAAAAAAAUCCCAAAACACAAAGCCCUGACUUUCAGAGCAUUUUUAGAAUCCUUUCCAGUGUACCUUCAUGUUUACUCCAACCACUGUUUAAACAGUUUGUGUUUGCUUAGGCAACUAGAUUUAUAUCCCAGAUCAGUAAAUAAACCUGUUACUGUGUGCUUUCCUACAGAUACUUCUGCCUUUAGAAGGCAGAAGUAACGAAUACAUUAUUAUUUGAUUAUGAUUAACAAAUACAUUAUUAUUGAAGAAAAUGACAUGCACAAAGCAAGCUGGUGUCUUUAAGGAAAAAAUCCAGGAAUUAUGGCUGUGGUUUGAUGUAUGGAUGCAGGCACACAGGCAGGCACAGCUGCUUAGCCCAGGAUUUAGGUUUAGAAGUGUGUCCCUAAGCAAAAUGAUGUCCGAGUAAAAAUACUAGGGUGGAUGAUAAAAUACAAAUCCAGAGUCUGUGGGUUAGAUUUCACUGAGCUUUGGCUGGAGCUGCUGGAUUGAGGAGCUCUGUCUCCUCUGGCUUAGACAUUACAUAGCCAAGCUUGUCAUUUUUCAUCUCCUCUGGAAUGCAAUUUUGCAACAAAUACCGAUUCUAACUACGAGGUGCGAAGGAAUUUUUUUUUUAAAUAAACUUUUACCUUGUCCACCUGCAUUCAGAGCAGGUCAGAGAGUGGAAGGAAGGUGUCCCCUGCCCAGGAGAGAGGUGCUGAGGGGAGCUGGGCUGCACACAGCCCUGGCACUGGCACUUCAAACCCUUCCAUCCCAAAAUAGGGGCUGGUGAGGUCUAAAUCACAAACACACAAUAAAACCCACUUGAAACGAGUCCAUGUAAACGAAGGGAUUGAAAAACAGCUCUGUAUCUCUGUCCUGUUUCCCUUUCCAGGAAGGAACAUCUCUUGGGUAACCUAAAAACAAAACAAAGUAGAAGAAAACUUUAUUUAACCUCCAGCUAAUUUCCUAUCAGGACUAAUUUUAGCUGGUUGGAUUCUGUUUGGUGGAUGUGCCUCCCAACACAGUAAAUUCAGAGGGAUGUUGCCCUUUGCCUGAAGCAACUGUUGCAGUGCUCUGGUUAAAACUGAUUUAAUUCCACAUCGCAGCAUAAAUUUUUAACACGAAAUGUCACUCUCUGUUUAAGCACAGCAGCACAGGGGUCUGGUGAGGCUGAUGGCUGAAUCCUGCUCCCUGGAAAAGCCCAGCCACACACAGAGCAAGCAGCUGCUGGAACUGCCUUGCAGUCACUCCUGCCUCUGGGAGAGCACAGGAGGAUAAAAACAUUGUCAUGAAAGCUUCUCCACGCGUGUUUUGAGACAGACAGUCCUUAAUUGAAGGGAGAUCAAGUCAGGGACCAGCCCAAAACACUUAGAUUAUUUUUCCAUGAGUCAAGGGUUAUACUCAAAACAAAAAAUUAGCCUACAAACACCCAGGCCAGGCUGGUGCACUGAGCGUUUCCCAGCACAGGUCACUGCUGCCAGCCUCCUGCUACGGAGGAAAAACCAUCUGACAAACUGCUUGGAAAGUCUGUGAGACUUUAUUCACUCUGUCUGCCUCUGCCUUUCUAAAACCUUUAAUUUUAGGGCCUGCAAUUAUUUGCACCGCCGUCAGCUCGAGGGGUAGAAAAUUGUGGAAGGAGCAUAAAAGGAUAACAAAUACAUUUAGGGACUCUCUAAAACUGACAGCAAGUGUUGCUGCUGAGUGCUUGGGGAGACCAGAACCAGGUUCUUCUCUCACCUAAGUGAGAAUUGCAUCAUCUUUGUGGUUUAGAAUCUUUCCAGGGUAAGGAGAUAGCAGGUUACCAAACUGGCCCAGAAAUUAUGACUGAGGAGUGUCUGCAGCUCACCUCAAUCUGAGACACUGGAGAAAGAAGGGAAAGGGAAGAAAUAAUUUUUAAGCAAGUGAAUUUAAAAAAAAAAAAAUCACAGGGACUUGUACAAAUAAAAAGCAACACCUUUAUUAAAGUAGUGCCUGAAGUUAAUGUUUGGUCAGACGCUGUCUUUGAUCCCAUCAGAGGGAAAUGAUUGAAAGGGAAUGAGAAAUGCAGGGGCAGAGUGGCUGGAAAAGGUGAUUUCAGGACACUUCCCUGCAUCACAUCCCCCCAGGACCCACCAGAGCCCAGCCCCUGCCCAGCCUCAGCCCCGUGCAGGCAGAGCUUCUGUGGAUGAUUGGUUUUCCAGCCUGGCAUCCAAGGUCCCUGUUUUGUUACAAGCCAGAAUCUGAAUGCUUGAAAUGACAUAAAAACCCUUUGUGUGCUCAUAAAUGCAGGGGCAGAGGCUGCAGCCGUGUUUUCCUGCUGUGCUGGGAGGAGCAGCACCUGGCACAGCUCUGGGAAGGGGCAUCUUGCUCUUGACAGAUCUGUCUUUUAAAUUUUUUUUUUCCUUAUUUGUGGGCAGAAAAUAAAUUUUCAUAAACUACCCUUGUUAAAUUGACCCUUAUUUUCUUCAUGAACUAAAAGGUACAUUUGAGAUUUUACUACUCACACUGGAUGUAAAUGAAAAGAAAGCUGUCUUACACACAAUUUAGCCUUCUGUAAUCAUUAGCACGCUUUCCUAAGUCCACAAUUGAAUCACUUUGACAUUUUUUGUGGGAUUUACAAACCCAUUUAGCUUCUGUUGGACAAAUGGGGCUGUGCCAGAUGCCAAACAGGGCUGAAGAUGAUUUAGGAUUGUUUCCAGUCCUGCAGCAGCAAUUUCUCCUUCUGUCUCUAGCAUGAACAAAUAAACCCAAUUACAGGCAGGGCAAGAACAAAAAGUUGCUUACUAGGACAAAACAAAGCAGCAAACUUUUAGGAAGAAGAAGGGAAAAUAUUGUUUUGCAGUAAUGGUUGCAUUUUUCAUCUGGUGACACUCAGCCCUGGCAGGGAUGUGUGAAAGCCGCUUCAGGGCUGGUUUGCAGAGCUCAGAGCAGGUGGUGUCAACGAGUUUAAAAAAAAAAAAAAAAGCUAUGAAUAAUGAAUAAUACAUAACCAAACUUUAGUUGAGUAAUUAUUAAUAGGAAACACAGCAUUUGAGAUAAAGGAGGCUCUCAGCUGGCAGAACGUGGUGGGGAUCACCACAACACUGAAGUUGGCCAUCCGUGGGGUUUACUUGGAACUCAGAAGAAAAGGAAAUGUAUUUUCCCUGCUGUUUCCCUGAAUAGUUGAGAGUGGAGCAAAUCACCACCCACAGGAGGCAGAAGAAAAAAAAUCUGUUUCUGAUGCAACUUCCCAUGUUUUCAAUCAGCAUUUUCCAUAAGCUGCCUUUUGGUGAUGCAUUUAAAACUGAUGCAAAUGCUCUGAUUGCGAAGAGUAUACGUACAUUAAAAAGUAAAAAAAUAAAUAUAAAAAAUAUAAUAUAUAUAUUAAAUACACUUUAUAUAUAUAGAUAUAUAUUUAUGGGUUGGCUGAACAGAGCCACGGUUUCUGGAUGAAAUGGAAGGGAAGAUUAAUUAUUAGCUUCUUCAAGUAGCUGUGCAUUUGUGGGCCCUGGAAACACAGGUACUAUUUUGCAAAGGGCUCGUUGCAAAUGAGAAAUGAGCUCCAGCUCCACCAUAUCUCCUCCCCCACGCUGUGAAAGGUCACAGUUGGCUGAGCUCCAUUGUAGCUCCCCUCAGAAAGUGGUGAAGGAAUUCAGAAGUUGUUUUUUCCCACCAAAAAUAAAAAAGAAAAAGAAAGAAGAAAAGAACAAUUGUACACCAUUUCCAUUUUCUGAAGAGGAAAUGGUGAUUUGUCUCAGCCAUGCUAUUGCCUGGGAAUUCGGCAGCCUUUGGUAUUAAAGGAGUUAAACAGCAGGUUUGCCUUAAACCUUGAGGAAAUCAUGUUGUUUGAAUUGCUUUUUUCCAUGGUAAAUAAGAGUGAAUUCUCCCUAGCACCUUCUCUGUUUGAGGUGCACCCUGCCUCUGGUUUUUAUUCAAUCCCACCUCAGGUCUCACACACACAUGAGCCACACCUGAAAGGGGCACCCACGCUGGAAAAAUCUCAGCUGAAGAAAAACAAGUAGGAAAUGCACUGAAAUGCUCUGAAAUUCCAUCUCUUGAGCAGACAUGAACUCCAAGGCACUCAUUAAUUGUGUUCUGUGGGCUCCCUCAUCCUGUGGGUCAUGCUGGAAAGCCAGAGGAGGAUCCAGCAAUGGAUUCUUCACUGUGACCUUUUAAAUGAUGGCAGCAGCAUGGGUGCCACUGGAAGAUCCCCAGAUCCUCUUUUGUUGUGAACCAGCCCCUCCAAACCAUACUGCAAAUUUUCCCUCCGGGUCUCCUGUCCAAACACAAACCUGCUCUGUCUCCUCAGCAUGGAAUUCUGUGUCACAGCUGUGCUUUGGGUGAAUCUUACCCAUAUUUUUAAAUUUUUUUUGUACGUGGCACCUGCCUGUUUCCCUCCCUGCAGAGGGUGGACCUUGUCUGGGCAGGAAUCAGGACAAACAGGGAACAAGGCUGGGCUGCCUGUGACCCUUGGAUGGUUUGGGUUGAUCAAUUCCUCAUCCAGACACCAGUUAUUAAUGGGCUGCUCUCUGGAAACCUCUGAUUCAGGGCUCCAGAGCUGUCAAGAACUCAUUCCAAUCAGAUCAGCUAAGGUUGCAUGUCAAAUAAACAAAAUGCUGCCUGCCUCUAAACCCUCUGGAAGAACCCCAAGUCAAGGCAGCAUCUGAGCAGAACAGGGUAGUUUUGAGAGAGACCAUUUUUGAUGUUCCCUUCUCUCUGUCCUUCUUCCCCAAGGGGGUAAUUCAGAGGAGCUGAAUCUUCACACCUCAAAUUCAUAUAAAAGCACAUUAUUAAUAAAUUGUGUUCACUGGGUGAGAGUGAGAUGAGAAUCAUGACAAACCUGAUGGUGACAUUUAGUAUCACAACUUUGAAAAGCUGUUUUCAACAGCACACUGCGAGAUGAAGCUGCCAACAAGAAGACAGAACGUGCAGACACCUCAUUUCUGCAGGGUUUUCCACUCUGCAUCAGCCAUGUGAUGACAGAAAUGGUUCUUAUAACUAUUUAUUUAAGGCUUUAUUAUAAUGCUCAUGCCAGAGGGCCCUGGAUUAAGAAGAACUGGAAGUUUUAAUCGUGUCAUUUCAUUGUUUUUGUGGGCCUGGCGUGGCGUUCGCUCGUGGGCAGCUGCUGGCUUUACAAAGAACACUGUGUGAAAAGUCAGUAUUUUUCAGUGCCCUAACAAUGGACAAAGCUCACAGGGGCAGUAUAUACCUACUGCUCUGCACAUUGUUCAUGCUCUGCAGAGGAAGAGGAACGGGGCUGGGCUCCUCCAGAAAUGAGACAGAAACGCGCUGAGGUCUCGUUUCCUGCGCAGAGAGCGCCAGCGGUGCGUUCCAGCUGUGCCAUGGUCUGUGAGAGCUGCUGCAUCCUCCUGAAAUCACUCACCAGGGUGAAAAAGGCCAAGAAGGGUCUUUUUUUCUGCUUUUAACCAGUGCAGGAGCCGUGGCAGCUGCAGCAGGCUGAGCUGGGGACAGUCCCUUUGAGUGGGGAGCAGAGAUCCCCUCAUCUCCACCCAGUGAAGAGCGAAGCCUCAGAACAUCCCAGCAUCCACAACAGCCUCGACGUGUCUGGACAUUCACAGACCAUCCCUGAUGUGCCCAGUGAUGGCCAACAGGCCCCUGGCCACCAGCUGCACAAAAUCUGCCCAGCUGGGCUUCAAACCCGCUGAAGUAAUUGUUUAAAGUAGCCACAGCCAAGCAGAAACUGGAAAAUGUUAGAGCUGUUUGAGGUGCUGGUUGUACACACUGCCACUCACACUCAUUAAUCAGACUCCAAAAAUGAUGGAUGGCUUCAAAUGUUGUUGCUUGUAAGUGAAAGUUUAGGGGCUCUGGUUGUUUGACACUGGCUUUGUGCCAUUUGAGGUUUUUUUUAGGGUGGUAUAAGAUUUAGCUGCUCCCAGGGUAUGGGGCUUUCAAGCCCAUUCUUCCUCCCAACUAAAAAUCGUGGAUUUCUGAAAAAAUCACACUUUGGCAACCCUGUGUAUAUAUUGGGUGGCAUUUAAUGGACAAGAAUUCAUUGGUAGCUUCUCCUUUCCCCUGUGUGCUUGAAUGGAGCACGGAGAGGCAACUUCAUCUCUUCAUGGUUGUGAGAAUAUCAGAGAAAUGGGAAACACCAGGGGCACUGGAAAACCCCUCUCCAUUUCCAGGAGCUAUCCUGGGAUUACAACAUGGGUGAUGUUCAUUUCAACCAGAAGAAAACAUUCUGAACAAUAUUUUCAUUUAUAUAUUUUUUUUAAAAUAUAUUGUGGCCUUUUCCGGGAAAUAAUUUUCCUCAUCUCAUCUUCCUCCUCCUUGCCUUUCACCUGAAGUGAUGGACACCAUAAAAGACAUUUCUUGAUCCCAGAUGUGUUCCAUUUCCUGCAGCUGAAAUUGAAAUCACUGCCUUCUUCAUAAAUACCUGCCAGGGAUGAAGAUGAAGAAAUUCAGAACUUUCUGCCACUGCUGUGGUUCGAAACAAAUAAAUCAGGAGGAUUUGAGGAGAUAGCCAGCAUUUUCUAAUUUGUUUCUACUGGCAAAAGUGCUGCAGUGAGGUUACAUCCAAACAAAUUUGGUGGCAGCAUCUGCUUUGUAAUGACCUAAAUGUCUAAAUCUAACUUUAGAAAGUGACUUGCAGCAGGUUCAGGCAAGGCUUUCAGAGUUUUAUUUUCACUCCUUUAAGGGAACAGCUGCUCCAUGGGGUUUGUGUAGCUGCUGAUUUUGGGAUCCCUGGAGGGAUCCUGAGCCCAGCAGAGCUGCUGUGGGUGGACCAAGACCCCAACACACCCAGAGGGGCACAUCAGUGAGUUUGUGCUAGACCACAAAGGGGUGGACACACCAAAAUUUUAAUACCUGACAGCACUGGAUUAAAAUGGGCAAAUGUGGGUGUUUUGCAGACUUCCAGCUGUUGUAUGGUCCAGAUCCUCUGGGCAGUCUGUGGCUGGGCUGGACUGCUCUGGUUUUUUUAAUAUAUAGGAUUUUUGCAUCCAGGCUAAAUAGAUGUUGAAAAAAAUAGGUUUAUUGUUUUGUGUCAUACACACAUAAAAAAUAUAAAUGCAUAAACAAUACCACAUUUCUGAGCUGCACAGGAAAAUGUGCUUUUUAGGGUAUUUUAAAUAUUUAAUUUGCCAUUCUGGAAUAAAAUUAGUCACAUUAAUAAUCCUAAUAAAAUGUAAGAUCAGUGUCCAGAGAUGUAAGGGAUUAUUACUGUAUAUGAAGUAAAGAAACAAUUAAAGAGCAUAUAAAUGCCUUCUGUCCCAUGUAGCUUUGGCCUUUUAAAUAUUUUGUUGUAGGAUUUUCUUUUCUCUUAAAGUUAGUGGCAAAAACACAUCUCAGGUCAAAAUAGUAAAUAGUGAAUCACCCACGAAUUCAGCUCAUUUCCUAUCUCUGACUGAAAAAAUGUUGAUUCCAGGCAUGGGAGCAGAACUUUGAGCCAAACAGUAAUUUCUUUAUGGUGUGGAUGACUCAUAGGAAAGAAUGCCUCAUGGGGAUAGCAGGAGAAAAAACUAAAGAAGGAAAAAAAAAAAUAAAAAAGUAAAAA
Long non-coding RNA from Prinia subflava (tawny-flanked prinia), 13112 nucleotides. RefSeq lists it as uncharacterized. Lineage: Eukaryota; Metazoa; Chordata; Aves; Passeriformes; Cisticolidae. The record is from RefSeq and is a predicted model, not a curated record. The transcript has 3 exons.